Molecule: ribosomal RNA, 371 nt
Filed under: uncultured bacterium
Lineage: Bacteria
Description: bacterial SSU rRNA
Rfam family: Bacterial small subunit ribosomal RNA
Source: RNAcentral
CAGGGAUAGCCUUUCGAAAGAAAGAUUAAUACCUGAUAGUACUUAUUUAAGGCAUCUUUUAUAAGUUAAAGAUUUAUCGGUUAUGGAUGGGGAUGCGUUCCAUUAGAUUGUUGGUGAGGUAACGGCUCACCAAGUCUUCGAUGGAUAGGGGUUCUGAGAGGAAGGUCCCCCACAUUGGUACUGAGACACGGACCAAACUCCUACGGGAGGCAGCAGUGAGGAAUAUUGGUCAAUGGGCGAGAGCCUGAACCAGCCAAGUAGCGUGAAGGAUGAAGGUCCUAUGGAUUGUAAACUUCUUUUAUAGUAGAAUAAAGUGAUCCACGUGUGGAUUUUUGUAUGUAUACUAUGAAUAAGGAUCGGCUAACUCCGUG